AGAUAUAAAUCUUUUUAAGAAAUAGAAUUGAUUGGAGAGGGGGAAGGAGCACCCUGAAGCCUGAGUCAUGACAGUUAAAGAUUUGUAUGCCUUCAUGUUGGGAAAGACUGUUGGAUCUGGAGCUAGAGGUCUUGAAUUUAAAUCCUGACUCUGCUGCUGACUAUGGAUGUAAAUCUGGGCAAGUGACUUACUCCAUAUGGGACUCAAGCUUUGACUAUAAAAUUGGACUUAGAUGGCCCUAAAGGUCUCUUCUAUAAAGAUCAAUAAGCAAGGAUUUAUUGAGUCCCCACAAUGGCCUUAGCACUGGUUUUAAAGCUGUUGUGACCAGUGUAAGAAACAUCUAUGACAUGGACCUAGUGCUCAUGGUGCUUGCAGUCUCACUGAAGAGAAAAGUCACUCUUUGUUUCCUCAUCUGUAAAGUAAGGGAGUUGGUACCUCCAAAAUCUCUUGCAUCGUGAAAUCUUCUGAUCCUAUGGUUACAGGAGAAGAAAAAAAUUAUUGAAAGAGCAUGAGUUGUCAUCACUCAGUACAUAUUCUAUGAAAUCUUGAUAGAUUGAAUGAAGGGUUCG
Molecule: long non-coding RNA, 569 nt
Organism: Trichosurus vulpecula (common brushtail)
Lineage: Eukaryota; Metazoa; Chordata; Mammalia; Diprotodontia; Phalangeridae
Exons: 3
Source: RefSeq, a predicted model, not a curated record